RNAcentral lists this ribosomal RNA (254 nucleotides) under uncultured bacterium. RNAcentral's name for it is "partial 16S ribosomal RNA". It matches the Rfam family "Bacterial small subunit ribosomal RNA", at positions 524 to 776 of the family's 1533-position model. The record is from RNAcentral.
UACGUAGGAUGCAAGCGUUGUCCGGAAUUAUUGGGCGUAAAGAGCUCGUAGGCGGUUCGGUAAGUCAGGUGUGAAAUCUCCACGCUCAACGUGGAGGGGCCACCUGAUACUGCCGUGACUCGAGUCCGGUAGGGGAGUGUGGAAUUCCCGGUGUAGCGGUGAAAUGCGCAGAUAUCGGGAGGAACACCAGUAGCGAAGGCGGCACUCUGGGCCGGAACUGACGCUGAGGAGCGAAAGCGUGGGUAGCAAACAGG